RNAcentral lists this transfer RNA (62 nucleotides) under Camelus bactrianus (Bactrian camel). It matches the Rfam family "tRNA", at positions 6 to 65 of the family's 71-position model. From Rfam's summary of the family: Transfer RNA (tRNA) molecules are approximately 80 nucleotides in length. Their secondary structure includes four short double-helical elements and three loops (D, anti-codon, and T loops). The record is from Rfam by way of RNAcentral. Lineage: Eukaryota; Metazoa; Chordata; Mammalia; Artiodactyla; Camelidae. RNAcentral also lists the same sequence under 2 other names.
UAUAGCUCAUUGGUGAGAGUGCAUGCCUAGCAUGCACGAGGUCCUGGGUUCAGUCCCCAGUA